This 468-nucleotide ribosomal RNA is filed under the name uncultured bacterium. RNAcentral's name for it is "bacterial SSU rRNA". It matches the Rfam family "Bacterial small subunit ribosomal RNA", at positions 330 to 795 of the family's 1533-position model. The record is from RNAcentral.
UCCAGACUCCUACGGGAGGCAGCAGUGAGGAAUAUUGGUCAAUGGGCGGGAGCCUGAACCAGCCAAGUCGCGUGAGGGAUGACGGCCCUAUGGGUUGUAAACCUCUUUUGCCGGGGAGCAAAGUGCCGCACGUGUGCGGUUUGGAGAGUACCCGGAGAAAAAGCAUCGGCUAACUCCGUGCCAGCAGCCGCGGUAAUACGUAGGGUGCGAGCGUUAAUCGGAAUUACUGGGCGUAAAGGGUGUGCAGGCGGUUUUGCAAGAUGGAUGUGAAAGCCCCGGGCUUAACCUGGGAAGGCCAUACAUGACUGCAAGACUAGAGUGCGUCAGAGGGGGGUGGAAUUCCAAGUGUAGCAGUGAAAUGCGUAGAUAUUUGGAAGAACACCGAUGGCGAAGGCAGCCCCCUGGGACGCAACUGACGCUCAUACACGAAAGCGUGGGGAGCAAACAGGAUUAGAUACCCCGGUAGUA